UGGGGAAUAUUGCACAAUGGGCGAAAGCCUGAUGCAGCAAUGCCGCGUGUGUGAAGAAGGCCUUCGGGUUGUAAAGCACUUUCAGACGUGAGGAAAAGUUAACUAUUAAUACUAGUUAACCCUGACGUUAACGUCAGAAGAAGCACCGGCUAACUCC
Molecule: ribosomal RNA, 157 nt
Filed under: uncultured bacterium
Lineage: Bacteria
Description: partial 16S ribosomal RNA
Rfam family: Bacterial small subunit ribosomal RNA
Source: RNAcentral